AGUCGAGCGGAAGGCCCCUUCGGGGGUACUCGAGCGGCGAACGGGUGAGUAACACGUGAGCAACCUGCCCCUGACUCUGGGAUAAGCCCGGGAAACUGGGUCUAAUACCGGAUAUGACGCAUUCUCGCAUGGGAUGUGUGUGGAAAGUUUUUCGGUUGGGGAUGGGCUCGCGGCCUAUCAGCUUGUUGGUGGGGUGAUGGCCUACCAAGGCGACGACGGGUAACCGGCCUGAGAGGGCGACCGGUCACACUGGGACUGAGACACGGCCCAGACUCCUACGGGAGGCAGCAGUGGGGAAUAUUGCGCAAUGGGCGGAAGCCUGACGCAGCGACGCCGCGUGGGGGAUGACGGCCUUCGGGUUGUAAACCUCUUUCAGCAGGGACGAAGCUAACGUGACGGUACCUGCAGAAGAAGCGCCGGCUAACUACGUGCCAGCAG
Molecule: ribosomal RNA, 438 nt
Filed under: Actinomadura sp. XM-17-6
Lineage: Bacteria; Bacillati; Actinomycetota; Actinomycetes; Streptosporangiales; Thermomonosporaceae
Description: bacterial SSU rRNA
Rfam family: Bacterial small subunit ribosomal RNA
Source: RNAcentral